AAAACCCUAAUUCCUAUGCUUCUUUCUCCGCCGCUUCUCUGUUUUUGGCUAAUUAGAUUUCGUUUUAUUAGGAACUCUGUUUUGGCGAUGAUGAUCAAUGCUUAAUUUCUGACACCUCUUGUAUGAGAAGAGCUUGAUAACCUCUUCUUUGAGCACAUUAUGCAAUACUCUGAGCCUUACCAAUGAUUUUUUUACAAAGACAAGUUUUUUGGAUCUGAAUUAGGGUUUAAGAGUGCUAUGAUUGUAAAAGUAAUUCCUCGUACUGAAAGCCAAUGGCUUGAAAGACUCACAUUACUACCCAUAGAAUAUGAGCACUCACUCUUCUAAAUCCAGUUUUGGUUUUGUUGUUUAGCAUUGCAAAGUUGUGGCUUUAAUUCUUUGGUUUUGUUUUUUAGCAUUGUCCCUUUGUCUUUUAAGAGCCAUGUUUUGAAUUGUUGUUGAUAGAAUUAGUUUCGUUGAGCAAUGCCCAUUUUGUUGCAUUGAUAGUGAUUACUGAUUAGUGUUUCGUUUAUUAUUUAUGGUGUUGUUGUAUGUGUAGAGUAGUGGUGGUAAUUGGCGAGGAUGAAUAAUGCUAAAUUUCUGACACCUCUUGUAUGAGGAGAGAUUGAUAACCUCUCCUUUGAGCACAUUAUGCAAUACUCUGAGCCUAUCAUUAUCAUUAGGUUUGUUUUGUGUUUGUAGAUGAGUGUGGAUAUGAAUUGGGUUGGAUGCUAUGAUUGUAAAAGUAAUUCCUCGUACUGAAUGCUCAUAAGGCAUGAUAGACUUACAUUACUACCCAUAGAAUAUGAGCAUCACCCUUUUCUUCUGAUCAAAUUUUCCUUUCAUUGUUUAUUGUUUGUUUUUGGUUCCUUUCAAUAGCAUUAAAGAAUAAGUUGUUCAUUCUGGUUCCUUGAUUGUAUCGGUAGUUGGCUUACUGCUUUUUAUUGAUCUUCAUUUUGAAGAUUUUGUUGAGGAUUAUGAAUAUUGGAUGAAAAGUGUGUCUCAAGCUAAAGUAAACCUCUAGUGAUUUUCCAAAGUGCUAUGGGGAAAUUCCGAACCUGUAAUGGCAAACCUGACACGCAGUCUAAAAACUGUGUCUCGAGCUGUCUAUUGUGUAUAAGCUCCUCUACUGUCUGUGGUUGCUUUUUGUUAUGUUGGGAUUGGUGGAAGGAUCCAUAGAGAGACUUCAAUCUGCCUAUGUUGUUGAUGUUUCGUUACCAUUGUCUAAUCAUCUGUUGUGCACCAUAAGCAGAUGUUUCUGUGUAUUUUUACGCUUUAAAAUUAAUGUUGAACUUGCCUAGUUCUUCAAGAGCUACCAUUAUGUAAACUGCCCUUAAAGAACUAGGAUAUGUGUACAAAUUGGUAACUGCUUGUGUUUUUUGAAUCUUUCAAUAGCAGGAAAGAAACAAGCUGGAUUGUGUUUUAUCAUUCACAUAAGUUUUUCUCAGUUUAAGAGUCCAUAGAGCAUCGACAUCUGCCACUAUGAAGUAUAAACGUUCCUGUUUCAUAUAAUGGAACAGCUGGGGGUGGCUACUAACAAUAUGAGCCUUUCAAGGUGUCAUUCCCGUUGAUGAAUGUAAAGCAUUGUUUUACCAGAACCAUAGACAUUUUAGCCAAUGGUGGUGAACAAAACACCUUUGUUGAACUAUAUCCAUCCAAUGUGUAAGUAACUCUAAAAUGGUGCGAUUCAAAUCUACAACCAAAACCAACGUUACAUUUUCAAUAAUUAAUCACUUAUCUGUAAGAUACCACGAUUAACCUUAAUUAAGCCACCAAUAUUCAAAUCUACAUCCAAAC
RNAcentral lists this long non-coding RNA (1776 nucleotides) under Arabidopsis thaliana (thale cress). RNAcentral describes it as "long non-coding RNA (ATHA_LNC000130)". The stretch from base 84 to 176 matches the Rfam family "Small nucleolar RNA snoR1". Lineage: Eukaryota; Viridiplantae; Streptophyta; Magnoliopsida; Brassicales; Brassicaceae. The record is from RNAcentral.